AAAGACUAAAGCCGAACGCCUCAGAACUGUUAUACGUUUCCGAAGUAUGAAGCCCCACUACGAAAGUGACUUUACUCCCCCUGACCCCACGAAAGCUGUGAAAAAACCGGGAUUAGAUACCCCAUUAUGCCCAGCCCUAAACUUUGAUAGCCCGUUACAACCCCUAUCCGCCCGGGUACUACGAGCAUUAGCUUAAAACCCAAAGGACUUGGCGGUGCUUAACAUCCACCUAGAGGAGCCUGUUCUAGAACCGAUAACCCCCGUUAAACCUCACCCUCUCUUGUUUCUCCCGCCUAUAUACCGCCGUCGUCAGCUUACCCUGUGAGGGACCUAUAGUAAGCACAAUUGGUAAAACCCAAAACGUCAGGUCGAGGUGUAGCUAAUGAGAGGGGAAGAAAUGGGCUACAUUUCCUACUCCAGGAAAUACGGACAAUGUUCUGAAAUGGACAUUAGAAGGAGGAUUUAGUAGUAAGCAGGAAACAGAGCGUUCCGCUGAAAAUGGCCCUAAAGCGCGCACACACCGCCCGUCACUCUCCCCAAGCUACCUAAAAACCCACAUCUGCAAAGGGGAGGCAAGUCGUAACAUGGUAAGUGUACCGGAAGGUGCACUUGGAAAAAUCAGACGUAGCUAAG
RNAcentral lists this ribosomal RNA (633 nucleotides) under Chromis viridis (blue green damselfish). RNAcentral's name for it is "partial 12S ribosomal RNA". It matches the Rfam family "Bacterial small subunit ribosomal RNA", at positions 651 to 1533 of the family's 1533-position model. Lineage: Eukaryota; Metazoa; Chordata; Actinopteri; Pomacentridae. The record is from RNAcentral.